UUAAGUUCAGCGGGUAUCCCUACCUGAUCCGAGGUCAAAGUGAUGAGGAGCCUUACUGGACGGAGGCAGACUGGAGCCGUGACGCAAUGUGCUGCGCACGAAGCCAACUUGCCGGCUGCCAAUGAAUUUGAGGCGAGUCCACGCGCGGAGGCGGAACAAACGCCCAACACCAAGCAGAGCUUGAAGGGUCAAAUGACGCU
This 200-nucleotide unclassified non-coding RNA is filed under the name Pleosporales sp. RNAcentral's name for it is "partial internal transcribed spacer 2". The record is from RNAcentral. Lineage: Eukaryota; Fungi; Ascomycota; Dothideomycetes; Pleosporales.